CGGUUGAUCCUGCCGGAGGCUAUUGCUAUCAGGGUUUGACUAAGCCAUGCGAGUCGAGAGGUGAAAGACCUCGGCAUACUGCUCAGUAACACGUGGAUAAUCUGCCCUCAGGUGAGGAAUAAUCCCGGGAAACUGGGGCUAAUGCCUCAUAGGAGACGGGUGCUGGAAUGCUCUGUCUCCGAAAGGUCCGCCGCCUGAGGAUGAGUCUGCGUCCGAUUAGGUUGUUGUUGGGGUAACGGCCCAACAAGCCUUUGAUCGGUACGGGUUGUGGGAGCGAGAGCCCGGAGAUGGAUUCUGAGACAUGAAUCCAGGCCCUACGGGGCGCAGCAGGCGCGAAAACUUUACAAUGCGAGCAAUCGUGAUAAGGAAACCCUGAGUGCCUGUCAAUGCAGGCUGUUCUGGUGUCUAACACACACCAGGAGAAAGGGCGGGGCAAGACCGGUGCCAGCCGCCGCGGUAAUACCGGCUGCUCGAGUGAUAGCCACUUUUACCGGGCUUAAAGCGUUCGUAGCUUGGUCGUUAAGUCUCUGGGGAAAUCUUUUGGCUCAACCAAAAGGCGUCUCAGGGAAACUGACGAUCUUGGAACCGGGAGAGGUAAGACGUACUUCGGGGGUAGGAGUGAAAUCUUGUAAUCCCCGAGGGACGACCGAUGGCGAAGGCAUCUUACCAGAACGGCUUCGACAGUGAGGGACGAAAGCUGGGGGAGCAAACCGGAUUAGAUACCCGGGUAGUCCCAGCCGUAAACGACGUGCGUUAGGUGUGUCAGUGACCACGAGUCGCUGAGGUGCCGAAGGGAAACCGUGAAACGCACCGCCUGGGAAGUACGGUCGCAAGGCUGAAACUUAAAGGAAUUGGCGGGGGAGCAC
This 866-nucleotide ribosomal RNA is filed under the name uncultured archaeon. Its description in RNAcentral is "bacterial SSU rRNA". It matches the Rfam family "Archaeal small subunit ribosomal RNA", at positions 5 to 879 of the family's 1478-position model. The record is from RNAcentral.